Molecule: ribosomal RNA, 775 nt
Filed under: uncultured Neocallimastigales
Lineage: Eukaryota; Fungi; Neocallimastigomycota; Neocallimastigomycetes; Neocallimastigales
Description: partial large subunit ribosomal RNA
Rfam family: Eukaryotic large subunit ribosomal RNA
Source: RNAcentral
CGCAUCUGUGCAUGCAGCAUAUCAAUAAGCGGAGGAAAAGAAACUAACAAGGAUUCCCUUAGUAACGGCGAGUGAAGCGGGAAGAACUCAAAUUUGAAAUCUUCAAGGUUUUACCUUGACGAAUUGUAGUUUAAAGAAGUGUUUUCUGCUGAAGUUUUGGUAAAAGUUCUUUGGAAUAGGACAUCAUAGAGGGUGAGAAUCCCGUAUUUGACCAUUAUUUUCAGCUUUGUGAUACACUUUCAAAGAGUCGGAUUGUUUGGGAAUGCAGUCCAAAAUGGGUGGUAAAUUUCAUCUAAAGCUAAAUAUUGGCGAGAGACCGAUAGCGAACAAGUACCGUGAGGGAAAGAUGAAAAGAACCUUGAAAAGAGAGUUAAACAGUACGUGAAAUUGUCAAAAGGGAAGCGUUUGACACCAGUGUUGUUUUCUCGAAAAUCAAUUAAAAAUGGCUCGAUUUUGUAUUGCUGAGACCUUAAAAGCUCACUGUACAUUUUUCGUGUCUUUUUUAAUGCACUUUUCGUUUAACAAGUCAACAUCAGUUUCUUUUGUUGUAAAAGGGUCAUUGGAAGGUGGCUUUCUUUUCGGAGAAAGUGUUUAUAGCCUUUGGCCUCUGCAAUCGGAAGAGACUGAGGUCUGCAGCGUAGACUCUUCGGGGUUAGAUACAUUUGUGCUAAGUUAUAGCUUUUUAUAGACAACCUGUUGACUAUAAUUAGUCUUGUAGCUUACUCGCUUAUGCUAUUUUACCUACGCUUAGGAUGUUGACGCAUGAGAUAUACGC